GGGAAUGGAGGUUGUGGCUGGAAGAGAAAGGGUUAAAUGUGGGUAUGACAAAAUAUAUAUUUUUUCUUAUUUUUUAUUUUUGUGAAAUGGUAGAAUGGGUGGGUUUGUGAGUUUAGGGUUUUUUUCCUAAGUCCUUAGAAGUCAUUUGACAAAGGGUUAUUUGUCUUUAAAAUUUUGAAGAUAAGAUGGAUGGGGAAAUAAGACAGGUGGGUGGAAAUAACAGCACUCUUUAGAAUUUAGGCUUUUUAGUGCAAAUAGUCCUUGUGGUUAAUGAAAUUAUCACCUUUGGUCCUUAAUUUUUUUUGUGACAUUAAUGGUCCUUAAGGUUACUCUCUAUACAUCAAAUUGGUCCCUAUUGUAAGCUCUGUCAAAUUUUCUGUUUGAGUGUUGACAUGGCAAAUAUGUAGAGCCCACACAUCCAAUUAUAUAAAGCCAAAUGGAUUUAAAUAAAAGAUAUCAUAAAAAUUAAAAUCCAAAAAAAAUUGACUAAAAAAUUUAAGAAAAAUGAGAUUAAAACUUCAAUAAAUAAAAAAAUUGAAACCAUCCCUCCCCCUCCCCUCCCCUACCCCUCUGUAUCCCCCUCUUCUCUCUCUCUCUCUCUCUCUCUCUCUCUCUCUC
RNAcentral lists this long non-coding RNA (618 nucleotides) under Prunus persica (peach). Its description in RNAcentral is "long non-coding RNA (PPER_LNC005061)". The record is from RNAcentral. Lineage: Eukaryota; Viridiplantae; Streptophyta; Magnoliopsida; Rosales; Rosaceae.